AGAGUUUGAUCAUGGCUCAGAAUCAACGCUGGCGGCGCGCCUAACACAUGCAAGUCGAGCGAGAAUGUGGAGCAAUCCAUGAGUACAGCGGCGUACGGGUGAGUAACACGUGGGUGAUCUACCUCUUAGUGGGGAAUAACCCUGGGAAACCGGGGCUAAUACCGCAUAAGCCUUAGCAGGGAAAGCAGCAAUGCGCUGAGAGAGGAGCCCGCGUCCGAUUAGCUAGUUGGUGAGGUAAUGGCUUACCAAGGCGACGAUCGGUAGCUGGUCUGAGAGGAUGAUCAGCCACACUGGGACUGAAACACGGGCCAGACUCCUACGGGAGGCAGCAGUGGGGAAUCUUGCACAAUGGGGGAAACCCUGAUGCAGCGACGCCGCGUGAGCGAUGAAGCCCUUCGGGGUGUAAAGCUCUUUCGUCGGGGACGAUAAUGACGGUACCUGGAGAAGCAGCUGCGGCUAACUACGUGCCAGCAGCCGCGGUAAUACGUAGGCAGCGAGCGUUGUUCGGAGUUACUGGGCGUAAAGGGUGUGUAGGCGGUUUUCUAAGUUUGGUGUGAAAUCUCCCGGCUCAACCGGGAGGGUGCGCCGAAAACUGGGAGACUAGAGUGCGGGAUGGGAGAGUAGAAUUCCUGGUGUAGCGGUGAAAUGCGUAGAUAUCAGGAGGAAUACCGGUGGUGUAGACGGCUCUCUGGACCGCCACUGACGCUGAGACACGAAAGCGUGGGUAGCAAACAGGAUUAGAUACCCUAGUAGUCC
This 756-nucleotide ribosomal RNA is filed under the name uncultured bacterium. Its description in RNAcentral is "bacterial SSU rRNA". It matches the Rfam family "Bacterial small subunit ribosomal RNA", at positions 8 to 796 of the family's 1533-position model. The record is from RNAcentral.